This 362-nucleotide ribosomal RNA is filed under the name uncultured Synergistaceae bacterium. RNAcentral describes it as "bacterial SSU rRNA". It matches the Rfam family "Bacterial small subunit ribosomal RNA", at positions 1027 to 1382 of the family's 1533-position model. Lineage: Bacteria; Thermotogati; Synergistota; Synergistia; Synergistales; Synergistaceae. The record is from RNAcentral.
CAAUAUACAAGGUGCUGCAGUGGUUGUCGUCAGCUCGUGCCGUGAGGUGUCGGGUUAAGUCCCGCAACGAGCGCCAACCCCUGCUGCCAGUUGCCGAACGGGUGAAGGCCGGGCACUCUGGGCGGGACUGCCAUCGACAAGAUGGAGGAAGGUGGGGAUGACGUCAAGUCAUCAUGGCCCUUAUGUCCAGGGCGACACACGUGCUACAAUGGCCGGCACAACGGGAAGCGAGUUCGCGAGGACGAGCGGAUCCCUCAAAGCCGGUCGCAGUUCGGAUUGAAGUCUGCAACUCGACUUCAUGAAGCUGGAAUCGCUAGUAAUCGUGGAUCAGCCAAGCCGCGGUGAAUACGUUCCCGGGCCUU